RNAcentral lists this long non-coding RNA (1103 nucleotides) under Homo sapiens (human). RNAcentral describes it as "non-protein coding lnc-LEPROTL1-3:3". The record is from RNAcentral. Lineage: Eukaryota; Metazoa; Chordata; Mammalia; Primates; Hominidae.
CAAAUCUGAGAGUUAAAAACUCUGGGAGUAGUUCAGAAGUUCUGAGGGUCUUGUGGUUUUUUCUCAUCAUCAUCCUCCCCUGGUUCUUCUGUUUCAUUUGAAGAGGAGAUGAUAUGAUUGAAUGGAACACAAGGAAGUAAAGUGAUCUUCCUCGUUUGUUUUUCAAAAAGCUGAUGCCUCAGAGGAAAAAGAAAGCAAAGCCCUGUACCCUGACUCGAGCUGAGUCUCAGGGGGGCAGCCAGAUGCCAGAGAGAAAAUGACUAUAUAGGUUACCUAGACCAACAAGAGCACAGACAGCCUGUCAGAGACCUCCAUGCUUUAACCUGGCUCACAAGUAGAGCCACCAGAACCAAAGUAGCUGUGGUGACAGAGACAGAGACAGUCUUCAUGAACAGAUGACCAAGAACCAGACAAGAAGUGGAUACUCCAGAGGACACCUGCAGAGGCAAGACAUCAGGGACCACAGCGCUGCCCACCCCCUCUCAUAUGGUCCCCAUGUAAGCCCCUGGAACUGGGUACCAUCCCAAAGGUAAUAGCAACCCCAAAAGUAAUUGACUAAAAUUACAUUUCUGCCACUCUGUCACAAUGGAGGUCUGAAACAGUUGUUACGUUAUAGAGAAAGACAGUUUCAUUCUUUGCAUAACUGAGUCUAUAAACUCAGAUUCACCCUCUACGCAGCAUUCCUUGGUGUGAAAAAAACACAGGAUUCAGAAUCUGAGACUUGGCUUUGAGUUCUGACUCUAUCACUCUAAAGUUUUGUGAAUUAUUGGGAAAUGCUCUCUCACAGCUCAGAAGACUUCUCUGCUUCAUUUUCUCUCAUUCCACUCUCCAUGAAGAGGAAGAACAGCUGUUAUGACCCCCUACACCCUCCAACAGCUGUUACAUCUUCCCUCAAACUUCUGAAGACCAAACAAUGCUGCUCUUUAAAAACCACCCUUCACCACCAAGCUUGCAUUUGUCCAGUGCAUUCAAGGGUGACAAACUCAAUGGACACUGGCAUCCCUGCUCUAAAACUUGACCCAGAACACUUUCAUGUCCAGGAAGAUUUUUUUUUAUUCUAGAGAAUCUAUGCAGUGUACAUAGCCAACUUCCAUGUGCAACCU